RNAcentral lists this ribosomal RNA (253 nucleotides) under uncultured bacterium. RNAcentral describes it as "partial 16S ribosomal RNA". It matches the Rfam family "Bacterial small subunit ribosomal RNA", at positions 524 to 776 of the family's 1533-position model. The record is from RNAcentral.
UACAGAGGUCCCGAGCGUUGUUCGGAUUCAUUGGGCGUAAAGGGUGCGUAGGCGGCGGGGUAAGUUUGAUGUGAAAUCCCGGGGCUCAACCCUGGAAUUGCAUUGAAUACUACCUUGCUAGAGUACCGGAGAGGAAACUGGAAUUUACGGUGUAGCAGUGAAAUGCGUAGAAAUCGUAAGGAAGACCAGUGGCGAAGGCGAGUUUCUGGACGGUAACUGACGCUGAGGCACGAAGGCCAGGGGAGCAAACGGG